This 71-nucleotide transfer RNA is filed under the name Cavia porcellus (domestic guinea pig). It matches the Rfam family "tRNA". From Rfam's summary of the family: Transfer RNA (tRNA) molecules are approximately 80 nucleotides in length. Their secondary structure includes four short double-helical elements and three loops (D, anti-codon, and T loops). Lineage: Eukaryota; Metazoa; Chordata; Mammalia; Rodentia; Caviidae. The record is from Rfam by way of RNAcentral.
CAGAUUCUAGCUCAGCGGCAUAAGCGCCUGCCUUGCAAGCAGGCAGUUGUGAGUUCAAUCCUCGGUACUGA